This 1016-nucleotide ribosomal RNA is filed under the name uncultured bacterium. RNAcentral's name for it is "bacterial SSU rRNA". It matches the Rfam family "Bacterial small subunit ribosomal RNA", at positions 357 to 1376 of the family's 1533-position model. The record is from RNAcentral.
AGGAAUAUUGGUCAAUGGACGAGAGUCUGAACCAGCCAAGUAGCGUGAAGGAUGACUGCCCUAUGGGUUGUAAACUUCUUUUAUACGGGAAUAAAGUGAGGCACGUGUGCCUUUUUGUAUGUACCGUAUGAAUAAGGAUCGGCUAACUCCGUGCCAGCAGCCGCGGUAAUACGGAGGAUCCGAGCGUUAUCCGGAUUUAUUGGGUUUAAAGGGAGCGUAGGCGGACGCUUAAGUCAGUUGUGAAAGUUUGCGGCUCAACCGUAAAAUUGCAGUUGAUACUGGGUGUCUUGAGUACAGUAGAGGCAGGCGGAAUUCGUGGUGUAGCGGUGAAAUGCUUAGAUAUCACGAAGAACUCCGAUUGCGAAGGCAGCUUGCUGGACUGUAACUGACGCUGAUGCUCGAAAGUGUGGGUAUCAAACAGGAUUAGAUACCCUGGUAGUCCACACAGUAAACGAUGAAUACUCGCUGUUUGCGAUAUACAGUAAGCGGCCAAGCGAAAGCAUUAAGUAUUCCACCUGGGGAGUACGCCGGCAACGGUGAAACUCAAAGGAAUUGACGGGGGCCCGCACAAGCGGAGGAACAUGUGGUUUAAUUCGAUGAUACGCGAGGAACCUUACCCGGGCUUAAAUUGCAAAUGAAUUAUGGGGAAACCCAUACGCCGCAAGGCAUUUGUGAAGGUGCUGCAUGGUUGUCGUCAGCUCGUGCCGUGAGGUGUCGGCUUAAGUGCCAUAACGAGCGCAACCCUUAUCUUCAGUUACUAACAGGUCAUGCUGAGGACUCUGGAGAGACUGCCGUCGUAAGAUGUGAGGAAGGUGGGGAUGACGUCAAAUCAGCACGGCCCUUACGUCCGGGGCUACACACGUGUUACAAUGGGGGGUACAGAAGGCCGCUACCUGGUGACAGGAUGCCAAUCCCAAAAACCUCUCUCAGUUCGGAUCGAAGUCUGCAACCCGACUUCGUGAAGCUGGAUUCGCUAGUAAUCGCGCAUCAGCCAUGGCGCGGUGAAUACGUUCCCG